This 1023-nucleotide long non-coding RNA is filed under the name Helianthus annuus (common sunflower). The record is from RNAcentral. Lineage: Eukaryota; Viridiplantae; Streptophyta; Magnoliopsida; Asterales; Asteraceae.
CUUUCAUAAACAUCUUUGUAAUAAUAUCCCAAUUUAACCUUAUUAACCCUGUUAUCUCUUCAAACGUAUCUCUCAGUCAUCCUCUCUGCCAAUUGCGAUCAUCUCAAACAUCAUUUUCGUAAAGAUCUGAUCACCUAAUCGACGCUACUCUAUGCUUUAGGCGAUGAAUCUGAAUUUAACUGAAGCAUAAGAGGGUUCAUAUAUGAAAAAAUAGGGUUGCCGAAGAAGAUGAUGGUCAAAAGGGUUCAUCCAGAUUUGAUUUUGUUCAAAUCUAAAGGUGCGAGAUGCAAGCAAUUUAUUUGACUAUGGCAGGGUUUAGUCUUCUAAAUAAAUGAAAUGGCAAUCACCACAGAAUAUGUGCAAUCAUGCAAGAUUGUGAAGUUAGCUGCUGUUAGAAUCAAUGGCAUGUUUGAAAGGAUACAAUUUUCUCAAGAAAUAAGAAAAGGUAUAUUGUCUUUUGUUGGACUUAUAAAAUGAACAGAUGAUUUCAAAAGCCAAAACAUGACUUCCUGGUUAAGAAAUAAAUAGAUAAUGAUACAUUCUCCUCCCAAAGAUAGUGAAUAUUGAACACUAAUCAGAACAUCUGUUAAAGACAUCAAAGAUCUGUUUGAAGGCAUGGAACAUCUGUUUAAGAAGAAGAAACCCCUGUUUGAUGGCCAAAGCCCUGUUGAAGACAAGCACUGGUCAUGAAGACCAAACAUCUGUUAUGGCCAAACAGAUGUUUGAUACAAGUCAGUAGUGGUAUGAAGAACAGUGGUUUAGUCAAUGUAACAGUGUUAGCUUUGAACAUAUGUUUUAUGUAAUAGAUCAGAUGAUAGAUUUGUGCAGAUGUUUGCUAACAUCUGAGGAAUCUUUUCUGUUAGGAACGUUAGAUGUCACUAUUUGGGUGACGUGAGUUGAUUUCAAACAGACCUUUCGUACCCAUAUAAAUAGAUUUCAUGUGUUAGAGAUCUAUUUCAUCACUUAUCAUUCCUUUUUAUACGAACAGAAAAGUUGCGUGAUCAGGCUGAGGGGGAGUUUAUA